This 259-nucleotide long non-coding RNA is filed under the name Brassica napus (rape). RNAcentral's name for it is "long non-coding RNA (BNAP_LNC014655)". The record is from RNAcentral. Lineage: Eukaryota; Viridiplantae; Streptophyta; Magnoliopsida; Brassicales; Brassicaceae.
CAUCAUCAUUGAUCGUCCAUCCGAGGCCUGCAAUUUGAUUUACUUCAUUCCAAGCUGCAUCAGAUCUGACCGUAGCCGCACCUGCAAUCAACAAACUAAAACCAUGUAACUAACCAUUUCAAUUCCAAAUUUUAGCAAAAAAAAAAAAAACAAAAACAAACUAAAUAAAUAAACAUAUUAUAAUUUUAUCCACCUUUCUUGCAACCGUAAAUAUAUACCCAACUUUUACUUCUACUGCAUGCCUGAAUUAGCGAUCAAU